Molecule: RNA transcript, 2004 nt
Organism: Manihot esculenta (cassava)
Lineage: Eukaryota; Viridiplantae; Streptophyta; Magnoliopsida; Malpighiales; Euphorbiaceae
Gene name: G-box-binding factor 4
Exons: 5
Source: RefSeq, a predicted model, not a curated record
AAAACCCUCUAAAUUGUUGUUAAUUCAAUGGAGUUAAACUAAUCCAAAUAAAUUUCAGCGCGCACGCGCCCACGCUCCAUCAAACCCAGUCCCCCCGAUCCCAACAGUCGGAAAACCCAAAAUUCCGAAACCCUAGACUCAGACCUGAAAAAUAUGUACAGAGAAUCCAAAUACACACCAUAGCUAGAGCCUAGAAGAACACAGCUGAGUGAAGAAACAAGGGAAAAGAAAAGGAAGGUUGAAUCGUAAUUUCUUCGAACUAAAUCCUAAAGAGAGAGAAAGAGGAUAUAUCGGAGCAGAAAAAGGAGAAAACUACCCUGGAAUGGCGUCGUCGAAGAUGAUGGCGUCGUCGAAACCGAAAAGUUCGGAUCUGACCUCAUCAUCAUCUUCAUCAGUAACGGCUCGAUCUCGACGUGCUUCUUCUUCGGCUUCUGCUUCUGCUUCUGCAAAACCACUAACUGCUUUUACUUCUUUUUCUUGUUCUUCUAAUCCAACUAGACGCAUCAAUAGUCUGACGUCAACUUCAUCAUCAUCGGCAGCGUCUACGAUGACCGUCGACGGCAUCUUAAGUAAUGUCUACGCCACUCCUUCGGCUGAGUCCACUCUCCUUGAUGCCCAAAUUACUCUCAUGGACACACCUGCUCCGCUCCUCUCGGAAACACCUCCACCGGCGCCGGCCCCGGCUACAAUUGAGACAAACCAUACUAAUAGUAGCAAUAAUCAAGAAAUAAACAGUGUUCUUCCUCAGGCUAGUAAAACCGUGGACGAUGUGUGGCGGGAAAUUGUCGCGGGGAGAAAGGAGAUGAAGGAGGAGCCUGAUGAGAUGAUGACGUUGGAGGAUUUUCUGGUCAAGACUGGGGCAGUAGAGGUUGGGGAGGAGGAUGAAGUCAAGAUGCCACCGCCGGAGAGGUUGAGUGGGGGAGUUUAUGCGUUUGAUCCGGUUCCACCCAGUGCGUUUCAGAUGUUGGAUAAAGUAGAGGGGUCGAUUGUUGGGUUUCCAAAUGAGACUGAGUUGGUUGCUGGAAGAGGUGGAAAUGUUGUAGGCAGGGGAAAGAGAGGUAGGACUCUCGUAAUGGAACCAUUAGAUAAGGCGGCGCAGCAAAGACAGAGGAGGAUGAUCAAGAAUAGGGAGUCAGCUGCCAGGUCUAGAGAGAGGAAGCAGGCUUAUCAGGUGGAAUUGGAGUCCUUGGCAGUGAGGCUAGAGGAGGAGAAUGAGCAGUUGUUGAAAGAGAAGGAAGAGAGGACCAAAGAAAGGUUCAAGCAGGGAAGAUCUAGAUUUGUUUAGCACAAGAGGCCCGACUAAGUUUUGCUGGUGCAGCAUGAAAUUCAUUUAGAUGCCUCUUUCUGGAUGAGUUUCCAUCACAUACUCAGCAUGUUCAGAGAGAAGUCCUGUAGAUAGCCAUCUCAUCUGAAACUUAUGGAGAAAGUGGUGCCUGUUGUUGAGAAGAGAAGACCACCUCGAAGGCUUCGGAGAGUUCACUCCUUGCAGUGGUAGGAAUAUAUAUGCUCGAGGUGUGAGAUGGAAGAUGGAUAUCCUUCACUGACAUGGAGAGUAAAUGAGAAGCAUUAUUCUUAGUAAAACAUUCGUUUUCUUUUUAUUUAGGUAUUUGAACCCGAUUAUUUUCUGAGACCAAUUGUGUUACACGAUAUAGAAGGGGAAAGAGAGUGUGUGUGUGUGGGGGGGGGGGGGGGGGGGUUGGAAUUGCAAUCUGAAUCAUGGAAAGGAGAAUUCCUUUGCUUAACUGAAUUUAGGAAAUAUCUAUAAUGGGAAGAUGGACGGCAGAAGGAUCUAGUUAUUUAUCUAGUUAGCAGGUGUAGAGAAAGGCAUACAUUUGUUCCUUUUCCUCCCAAUUGCUAUUGUGAAGGGGGGAUGGGGGGAUGGAAGGGAUUCUGGACUGUGAUACUGUAUUUAUGUGUUGACAGCUUAUGAUAGCUUAGAAAAUACAGAUUGGUGGAUGGUAAAUAUUUUAAAUUAAAGCUGAUGCUGCAUUAUCUUCCUGGAAA